CAAAGAAGGAAAACACUGUCCCUAUUCCAGAAGCUUUCAUGGGGCCACUCCCAGCUAUUGCUCCUGCCCUGACAUCCAGCAGUGCAAUUUAGUUUGCCUCCUUUGAAAUUACAUCCAUGGAAUUACCCAGCAGGCAAUCUUGUUUUGAGCGCACUCUGUUCGACCUCCUGUUUGUGGCAGGUGCCUGUGUCGUAGGUAGUUGGAGUGUCUUCACGGUUGUUUCUGCACUGCACUCAGUUGUAAGGAACUACCACCCCCUUGUCCACCCCUUAUUUAUACUUUUAUUAUUGACACAUAUUUUGGUUGUUUCUAGCAGUGCCACAGCAUUCAUUCACAGGUUAUUUAGUGCACAUGGGAAUCACUUUGGGUAUAGAAGUAGGAGUGAAAUUGCUGGGUCACGAUGUAAGAUCCAUUCUCUGGGAAGGCCAUACUUUUCCAAAGUGGUUGUGCCCCUAAACCAAUGUACCUACCAGUAGUAGCACAAGAGAGUUACUUUUGGUCUACACCCAUAUCCAUAGUUAAUAUUGUCAUGGUUUUUGAUUUUAACUGUUUUGGUGUAUGUAUAGUCAUAUCUUGUGGCUUUAAUUUGUAUCCUGAUUAUUGAUGAAAUUGAGAAUAUUUUUCACAUACUAAUUGGCUAUAUUUUGAUUGCUUUUGAGUGUUUGAGUGUUCAUGCACCCUGAAUAUAAGCUCUUUACUAGUUAUAUCCAUAUAUCUGUGAAUAUACAAACACGUAUAUCUUUAUCUACAUUUAUAUCUAUAUUGCACAUAUAGCUGUUCUCUGUGGAUUGCAUUUUAUUCUCUGGUCACUUAAAGAACAGAAUUUCUUAAUUCUUAUAUACUCUAGUAAUCAGUAUUAUUUUAUGAGGUUAGAACUUUGGUGUCUGGUUUAGGAAUCCUUUCCUUACCCAAGGUGAUGAAGACACAUCAUUUAUUUUCUCAUGACUAUCAGAUUGAUACAGUUCCAUUGCUAUGAUUUGAAUGUGUUCCCCAAAGUUCACAUAUUAGAAAUACAUGCAGCAGUGUUGGGAAGUAGGCCCUUUCAGAGGGGAUUAGGUCAUGAGAGUUCUGUCACAUGCAGGGAUUGGUGGUGUUGUGGGAAUGUACUCAGUAUCGUGAGAGCAGAUUUAUUGUAAAAGCCAGGUAAGCCAUUUCUUUUCUCUCCCACAUGGGUGUGCUCUCUUGCCCUUCCACAUUUCACCAUGAAAUGAUACAGCUAAAGGCCCUUGCCAGAUCCUUAAUAUUGGAUCUCCCACUCUCUAGACCUAUAAAAGAUAGUUUCUUUAUAAACUGCCCAAUCUCUGGUAUUCUUUUAUAGCAAAACAAAGUGAAUUCAGACAACUGAGUGCUGAAAAACCUUAUUUCUUCCACAGUUCUGAAGUGUCAACUCUAUUAUGCACACAGUGUUCCUAUAGGCGUGUUUCUCUUUCAGGCGUUUCUAUUAUAGUUUAUGGGUUUGUGGACAAAUAACCCUUGCCCUAAUUUGAAGUAGUAUUACAGAGUCUUGGUAUUUGGCAGUACAGGUCUUCUUGUUGUUCUUGAUUGCAUGGCUUUUCUUUACGUUUCCAUAUAGCUUUUGAAUAAGAUUGCUAGUUUUCACAAAAAUAUAGCUGGUAUUUUGAUUGACACUUAGCAUAUAGACCAACUAGCAAGAAUUGAAAUAUUUAUAAUAAUCAAUGAACAUUGUAUAUCUCUCC
RNAcentral lists this long non-coding RNA (1697 nucleotides) under Marmota monax (woodchuck). Lineage: Eukaryota; Metazoa; Chordata; Mammalia; Rodentia; Sciuridae. The record is from RNAcentral.